CCUACGGGUGGCAGCAGUAGGGAAUCUUCCACAAUGGGCGCAAGCCUGAUGGAGCAACACCGCGUGAGUGAAGAAGGGUUUCGGCUCGUAAAGCUCUGUUGUUGGAGAAGAACGUGCGUGCGAGUAACUGUUCACGCAGUGACGGUAUCCAACCAGACAGUCACGGCUAACUACGUGCCAGCAGCCGCGGUAAUACGUCGGUGGCAAGCGUUGUCCGGAUGUAUUGGGGUUAAAGGUAGCGCAGGCGGUUGCUUAGGUCUGAUGUGAAAGCGUUCGGCUUAACCGAAGAAGUGCAUCGGAAACUGGGAGACUUGAGUGCAGUAGAGGACAGUGGAACUCCAUGUGUAGCGGUGGAAUGCGUAGAUAUAUGGAAGAACACCAGUUGCGAAGGCGGCUGGCUGGACUGCAACUGACGCUGAGGCUCGAAAGCAUGGGUAGCGAACAGGAUUAGAUACCCCUGUAGUC
Molecule: ribosomal RNA, 465 nt
Filed under: uncultured bacterium
Lineage: Bacteria
Description: partial 16S ribosomal RNA
Rfam family: Bacterial small subunit ribosomal RNA
Source: RNAcentral